This 2472-nucleotide long non-coding RNA is filed under the name Rattus norvegicus (Norway rat). RNAcentral describes it as "long non-coding RNA NONRATT021953". The record is from RNAcentral. Lineage: Eukaryota; Metazoa; Chordata; Mammalia; Rodentia; Muridae.
CUGCUGACCUGGUCAUUGUGAUGAAGAGAGGAAACAUUUUGGAAUACGACACCCCGGAAAGCCUCUUGGCCCAGGAGGAUGGAGUGUUCGCCUCGUUCGUUCGUGCGGACAUGUGACAGGAUUACAUCACAACAGCACCUGUGUCUCGAUGCCUACCGUCGCCCACCAGAGGGAUCCCCCAACUUUGCCUCGGAAGGGUGGCGCCGGAAACUUCGACAGACUUCUGUAUGGAAAGUAGAGAUUUCUGUUUCCUGUUUUGGUCUGAGGGACACUCCCUGUAGGUUCAUCGUGGGUGUUGUACUGUGAUCAGGCCACACUGGAAAGGUAGCCUAUGCUAAAACAUGCCAGCGACCUUAAGGGGUAAAUCUGUCGAUGUCUGUCAAGCACUGGAGCUGAAAUGAGUCGUCUGUGCUACCACACUCUCAUUAGGAAGACUAGCACUGCCCUGCUGUUGAUGAAGAAAAUUCAUUUUCUAACAAAAUACUCACGUUCAUGAUCCAUAGGAGAGUCUUUUCUGUGCAUUUAACAUUGUUGAUAUUUUUUUUUAACUUUUCCCCUUUUAAAUCAUUUCCUGUCACCACGAAGCUAUCAUAUUUAGUACCUCUAUAAAGCCGACCCCUCACAAGAGAAAGAUCAUGAAAAGAGAUUGAAUAUUUGAAAAUAUUAUUUGUUUCCAUUUGCCUCCAUCCAAUAAGGAGGAAGUUCAAGUUAGCUUCAGUCCUUCAGCAAUGGGCCACCUAAACUAAGCUUUCUAGAGUUUAAUUCUUUAUCAGCCAAACAAUGGCUCUGAACCCUGAAAUGCUAUAUUAUCUAGGGCCCAAAAGAAUAUAGAUGAAUGGCCUUAUCUGUCACACACACAGACACACACACACACACACACACACACACAUAUACAUACACAUCUUCAUGCCAUAUCUUGGCUGUAUGCUAAUCUUGGCAUGUGCACAUUCCUCGAAGGUUCCAGAUAUCCCCUACCCUACAUCUCUGUGGGAAGAUAGAAAUAGUUCCCACUCUGAAUCUACACAGGUAGCAAGUGUUUAUUUUCACUUGGGCAAAUUUCAGUGGCAGACAUUGAUGUCACACAUGUGGCCAUUGGUCCUGUUCUAAUUUAUAGAGUGUACCAGAAGUCUAUAUGAUAUUAGUGUCACAUUUCAUUUAACUGCCCAUUAAUAAAGCCAAACUGACUGAAGUUCACUUCCCUGUUAUCCCAGCUUCCACAGUUUCUGUAACCUUUAACCAUCAGAUAUAAGCACUGCUCAAUUCCAUAUGAGGGUCUCCACAGAAAAUAGAUGCCCCAUCCCCACCGUUCCUGUAGUCAUAUUGCGUUCUUUAUUCUGUGUCAAGACUUAUAGUUCUUGUGCAUCGAGAUAUUUCAAGGUGCCUUUAUGGAUAUAGAACGUAAUAUAAGAAAAACGUUCAUAGAGAUAGACAGAAACGGCCCAGGUUACUUAGCCUAAUUAGUCACCUUUUCUUCCAUAUCAAAAACUUCAUUAGAAAAAAAUAAUAGUAUUAUUUGCAGAAAGCUAGUAGGUCACAGCUAUUAGCAAUGAGUUCAACCUCAAAAGUACUUCAUAAGAGAAUCGACUAAUCUACUAAAAUAUUGCUGGUGUGAGAAGGUUCUGCUGGGGCUGGAUACCCAUGACGUUUGUUGUCAGUCAGUGUCUCCUUCUCUCCUAGAAAUGGCAUUCAUCUACAGAAGUAGCUCCCUCGCUGUAGCCCACUACGCCAUCCUGUGCAAAAGUGACUUUCGUUUCCUCGAAACUUUUACUUACUUGAUUUGCAAAAAACAAACAAACAAAAAAAAAAACAAACAAACAAAACACCUACCAAACGAAGUCUGGUGACAUCUCAGUCAGUCGAUCAGGAAUUGCGUUGUCUGGGUGACCUGCAAUGACAGAAAGGAGCUUUUACUGUAGUUAAGACUGUAAGAAAAGAAAAUCGCCUCCACAGAGUUAAAUUUUACAUCGAUAUAACCAAAUCGAAUUCACACAGAUUGAUCCUAUCCUGUCUGUGAAAAGCAAGAAGUGCAGAUGUGUUCAUGAUAAAAUGACAGGGUUGUUGGGGUCGCCCUGUGUAUAAGGAUCGCUUUCCUCAAAGGUUGUGGCGCACACACCCUGCCACUACUCCUCAUGACUCUUCUAGAUGUAGGUUAGACACUGAAAGAUCUUUCUAAGCAUCUGGUGUGAUCAGGACCUUAUCUUGUCCAUCUUCCUGUGCCCUUGGCACUAAAACAAGUGCAUGGCUCCAAAUAAAUAAAGUGGUUUCUCCCCGGACUUCUUCUUUUAUUUUUCUUUUAACUUCUCGUCAUGUGGCUAUAACUGUGGGCUCCUCUUGACUUCCUCUUUACUACGCUUAUCCUAUUUAUUCUCAGUAUAUGGAAUUCAUUUAUUAUGCGCACUGUAUGUUUUCUCUCUGUAGUACAUGAGAGCUUAUUGGCUUACCUUAUAUAAUAAAUUAACCCUUUGUUUACCC